Long non-coding RNA from Triticum dicoccoides, 1796 nucleotides. RefSeq lists it as uncharacterized. The record is from RefSeq and is a predicted model, not a curated record. Lineage: Eukaryota; Viridiplantae; Streptophyta; Magnoliopsida; Poales; Poaceae. The transcript has 7 exons.
GGCGUUGCUAAUGGCGUUAGUGGCACUGCCGCUCCUCAUGGUGCCCGACAUGCUCUCUAUGCCAGGCUCCAACGGCGUGGAUCGCGGCGCCGCCCUGUCGCUCCCACGCCCGUGCUUCAGCAGAUCCGUGUUUGAGUCGUGCAUACCUUUAGCCGCCUCCCCUCCAAUGUCCACGACUCUGAUAUACCGUGUUUGUUAGUCUUGACUGGUGUUUGUUCUCCGUAUUGUUGUGCAGGAGGCUGGAGAACAGUAGGGAGAAAAGGGAGUCGUGGAUGGAGGUUCUGUACUUCUACUUGUCCUACAUGGCCGAGCGAGAUCGAGGCUAGCCGCCGGUAAUGUUCUUCUCCCGUGCAAGUUCCGCACUGCAUUGAAGCAUCCAACACAUGAUGUAGCUACGUUACAGGUGGGACAUCAGCCAAGUAUGUUUCGAGGUGAGACAUCCAUCAAGUUUGUUUGGAGAAAUUGUGCAGUCCAGCUCCUGCGUGCUGGUCACCGAGCUCCACUGUGUCCAGCUCAUCCGACCAUGUGCUCCACUGCAUCUAGUAACUGGGCGUAGGCACAUCCGUCUCGAUAAGAAUUAUGGGAACGGACAAAGGCAAGGCAUUCCAAUGUAAGAAAUGGAUGAAGGCAAGUGUGCAUCUUGUUUGUCCUCUCCACCAAGCAGCGUCGACUACUCCAUACAAGCACAUAAGCUUAUGCCCUUAUGAAGUUAUGAUUAUAUAUUUACCAAUGACUAUUAUGGUUGAUAGCUUUAAAGUCUUUGCUUCUAUAUGCAGCUGAGAAUGACUUAUAAGUUCAUGGCAAAAGCAGCAACAUCAGUACGUAACCACAAGCAAGCUGAGGGGGUAAUAAUCUUGGUAUUUAAGUCUUAGAUUCAGUAUUUUGCUUUUUGGAUACAUGAACAUUGAAACUUGUUUAGCAUUUUGUUUCUUAUAUGCUUCAUGCCAAUAAAACUGCAGUAAAAUAUGAGCCGAGAUUUUGCUUGGCAUGUGUAUGUAUGCAUGCCCUGAAUUUGCUUAGCAUUUUUAUGCAUACAACUAUUGGAAGCUUUUACAUGUCCUGGAACUGAGCUUUUGCAUGCCCUGUGUUUUCUGAAGCUGAGUCUUUUGUUAUUGGCUAGUACUUGAAACAGAGUCGCAGGCCUCCUGCCAUAUAACCAUUUAUGAAGUGCAUAUGUGAUGCCUUAUCUUGUAUUCCUACAAAGAGUCCAGUAUUGUUUUCAUGUGUAAAAAGUGGCUGACCUGGCAUUACACUGUUAAGUGUUUUGUACGCAUUAUGAAUCUUGUUGUAGAUACACACUGAGCUGAAAAUGUUGCUAGCAGAAAUAGGUUUUCUGUUAGCUACGCAUCUAGUUUAAAACAUGGUAUGACUACUUGCUUUGGAAUAGUAACGCCUUGAUAUUAUCUGAUCCUAUCUCAUGCAUAUUUUAGUUAUUUCCAGACAAAGCUUUAGGAACCGAGUUCACUACAACUCGAAGUCUUGUGCAUGGAGGAGAAUUGAGAUAUUUGCGCAUUCUGUACUAGUCAAAAGGUUGGCAUCCUGGUUGGAAGAUCUUGUGUGCUACUCUCUACACGAUGUUCCUUCUACAUGAUAGCACUUGACGUCUACAUGAUAGCACUUGAAGUCUACAUGAUGUUUCUUGUAUUCAUAGCUCAAACCAUUUGUUUAGCUUAGUUUGAACAAAAAAUAUUAUUGUCUUACAUGUAAAUAAUGUUUACUAAUGUAGCUGGAUGCUACUGAACACAUGUACGAAAGUCAAAAUACUAAGUGUUAGUCAUUAUGUGUUUGAGAACUGC